This 1117-nucleotide long non-coding RNA is filed under the name Populus trichocarpa (black cottonwood). RNAcentral describes it as "long non-coding RNA (PTRI_LNC004138)". Lineage: Eukaryota; Viridiplantae; Streptophyta; Magnoliopsida; Malpighiales; Salicaceae. The record is from RNAcentral.
GAAAACAAAAGUAAAAGAACCCUAAACCUAAACUGGUUCCUCUCUCGGCGGCUGCCCCCUCCCUUGGCAAAAAAAAAAAACAAAGAGAACCGAGGCCGCCACCAUCUCCUUCCCUCACCAGAUCCCCCCCCCCCUCCCUUGACUUUUGCAAAACAAACCAGAGAGCACAAGACAGCCCCUGACUCUUUUCCCCAUAGCCAUUUCCAGCACCGUCUCUAGCUCCUUUUCCCGCUACAACAGCCAAAGCAGCCGACUUCCUUUUUCCCUUUCACCCGAACGGCCGCCUCCCUCCCUUGAGAAAGAAAAUCUAGAGAAACCCCUGCUUUGGGGGGGCUUUUGAUUUUCAGCUUCUUCUCCCUUCAGCCGGGCAAGUCCCCCUCGUCCUCUGUCAAAAAAAAAACGAGCCUUCACCCAUUUUCCCCCAUAGCCGGCCAUCAACACAAACUCUCAGCCCCCCACAGACCAACCUCCCCUGCACGCCGGCCUUCACGGUCUCCCUCGCUCGGCUCUCCCAAAACCAGAGGCCAGCCGUGGCCCCCUUAAUUUGCCCUCUGUCAAAAAACAAGCCGGCCAGCCACCUCUCCUUUCAUCUCUAGACUGAACAUAGCGGCAGCCUCCGCUGUAUUCUUCAGCUGCUCCCGUCUCCGCCUCAGCCACGGUCUCCCUCUCCGGGCCAACCACAGCCCCCGGCCCUCACAGGUCUCCACCGAAUAGACCCCACCACAGCAGCAGCCGAUCUCCUUCACCUCCAAUCGGCCAGCUCGCCUAGACCGAAUCGGAGCCUCCAGUAGCAGCCUGACACAGCGGCGCCCACAGAUCCCAGAUCUGUCCGCCUCCAGCCUCCAGCCUCCAGCCCUCCUUCCUCAGGCGCCAGGUCUGCGACCUGAAGAAGGAAAGAACAGAAAACCAAGGGGAAGAAAGAAGACCGGGAGCAGAUCUGAGAAGGAGAAAACAAAAUAAAAACCACUGCUUGUUGCGUUUUUUGACUUUGUAGGUGACGUCACCUCCCACCGCCAGUGCAGAAAGAGGGAGGAGGAGAAAACGUACCAUUAAAAUAUAACAUGUUUCUACUUAUAUUCUGAGAUUUAAUAAAUGAUUUAUUAAAAUCUUAAAAUUU